AGGUCAUAUAUCAGCAUGGCGAUGACAAAAGCACAUACACAGUUGAUGACUACGUCCAAACAUUGUUAUUCACACCCUCUGCUAUCUAACUAUGUAGUGCAUGAAGCAAGUGAUGAUUGUUCACCACUAAUUAACUAGUAUGUUACUUUUAGGAUUCUAAAUUUUUUUUUAUAUAUUUCUUUACUCUAUUUUGAAAUGCGUUAUGAUUUCCUUAAUUCAUAGUGUAUUUGAAAUUUCAAUAAGAAAUUGUAUCUAAUUUUUUGUUACUUGAGAGUUUUAAUCUAUUCUUUUAUUAAUAUUUUAGAUUAAUAUACUUUAAUAUACAUGAAUUAUAGUUAAGAUGCAUUAAUAACAUUAAAAGAUGACAAUGAAAAGUUAGAAAGAAUGGUUAUUAUUAAAAUGAGAUAAAUUAUCCUAUUUUCGGUAAAAGAGAAUCAAUCAAUAUAUAAAGUCAAACAGUUGAUUGACCUUUAGGCUGUGUCAGCCAAUUCAAUAUUAUUUGCAAUAGUCAAUCCACUUGCACACGCCCAAGUUCCAACUUUCAACCGGUACAUGUAAAAUUGACCAUUAUGAUUUUUGAGUGUCUGACCAAGGUAAGUUUGAUGCUGGGACGUCGCUUGGAUCCUUAAUUUUGUCGAGAUUAACAACUCCAUGGUGAAAAUAGCCUAAAUUUGGGGUGUUACGUAACUCAUCUUUGUUAGCCUUUGUGUCCUGUAUCAAGUUUGGCAGAUAAGAACGUUGCUUCAAACACCAUAGAGAGUAGUUGGAACCUUCACCUCCUUGCCGGUGUUCAACUUGUCUAGCCACGAGAACCGUCGCAUCUGAUCGGUGGAUAUCCGCACUGCUCCAGCGUUCUCGAAACGCGUCUGUUCCACCGUCGGUCACCGUGUGUCUUGCGAGCUUUCUCUCUGUUUGAGCGUCGGUGCUGACGCGUGUUCGAGCAACCGUUCAGCCCUCUAUUCAACCAUCUUCAUUGAGUUUUAAAGCUGAUAGGUAUUGCUAUUGCCUUCUAUUUUGGAGCCAGAUUUGGGUUUGAUAAAGCUGAUAUGUAUGUCUCACUCUAAAGCGUAAAUAUUUUCUUAAAGUUAACUUGGAACUAUGUUUUGGGACUUGAGAUGGUUGGAACUUGGAAGUAAGAUAACAUUUGGGUCUUGCUUGUCUGGUUAAUGGCAUUGUUGCAACUUUGUUUAUGUUUGCCAUUCAUUCAUCCAUGAAGUUAUGAAUUACCUUGUAAUGCAGGAAACGCCUUUUCAAUAUGAUUAAUGAAGUGCCCACAAUAUUUGAAGUUGUUACUGGUGCAGCCAAGAAACAAGUGAAGGAGAAGUCUUCAGUUUCGAACCAUAGUGGCAGCAAAUCAAAGUCAAACACUAAAGCAGUAAAUAUUUUUCUCCUUGCACUUACACAUGGAAAUCAUGUAUUUUUUGUCUGUGCUUGUUUCUUUGAUACAGGAUCCCUUUAAAAUUGAGUAGUCCAUGAGUUAGUUAAUUUUUUUUUAUUUUUCGGGGUCUCAGUAGAAUUUCAAAAUAAUGGAAAGAUUGUGGAAAUUGAAAGUGGUGAAAGUAUGUGCAGCGUAUGCAUUGAAUAUUUAUCUAUCUUGGAAGGUGAAUGCAUCUCCUUUUACAACUUUUAUCCCUUUCAAAUAAGCUGUGCUCUAAAUGACUGAGUUGUCUGUUGAUUUUCAUAAAGUUUGAAAGCUAAGGUGAUUUGUUUUUCUCAUCCUUCUUCUUUGUUGGAUUAGUUGUUUUAACUAAUAUAUUGAUGUUUCAGUUCUUGCAAUUUAGUGUAAUAUUCAUAUGUUUAAGGAAGCUCCAUUUGCACAGUAGCCUGAUUGUUGAUAUUUACUAAUAUUGUAUAUAUGCAAUUAUCUUGAAUAGGCAAAUUGAAUAUUUUAUUAUCUUUGUGUUGUUUCUAUGCUUCUGUUGUGCAGAUAGCUUUGAUUAAAUUUAUUGGUUAUAAAAUCAUAAAUAAUAUUUCAAAUACUGAGAAUGCAUUCCUAAUUAUAUUUAUCACAGAUAUAAUCAUUUGGGAAUUUCUUUUUGCCUUUUCUAACUUGUUACUUACUUUAAUAUAUCAGAUAUUUGGAAUUGGAUUAUACUUAUCACAAAUUAUAAGUUGGCAUAGAUUAUGUUAAAGUUUGUUGCUGCCGUGUACGAGUAGCCAUUUGAGCAAUUUUUGAGUUGGCCGAUUUUCCAUGGUGAGUUUUUUUUAUAUUUUUGUUGGUUUGUUAUGUUAUUUAAAAUGUCAUUGUUAUGAAAGAAAGGAAAUUGUUGGUGAAGUUGAGUUUAUUUGGCUACAGAGGUCGGAAGUGGAAGACUCGGAGUACUAUUCAGAGGAGUUGGUCCGUGCCCCUGAUCCAGUCGAAGGUCUCCAUGUUGAUGGUGAAGGGAGCGAUGUAGGCGAGGAAGGGAGUGAGGGAUUUGAAGGUGACGAAGGUUUUGAAGAAGAGUCAGAGAUACAUGAUGAAUUUGGGGAUGAGUUCUAUGACAACUGGGAAGAAAGGGCAACUGAUGAAAUUGCUGAUCUAGGUUGUAUGAAUUUGAAGGAAAUCACAGUGGAAGAGAUUAAAAGUCUCCAUUUUCCGGAUCGGGAAGUCGCAUUUUUAUUCUACAACUUAUAUGCGAAAAUGAAUGGGUUUGUUGCUCGAAGGUAUAGGUCUCGGCGUAAUCUAAAUAACGAGAUGAUACAACAAUCUUUUGUAUGCUUCAGGCAGGGCUUUCGGAAGGCAAGAAUUUGUGAUGGAGUCGAAGUUGCUGAUCGGAAACGGGAGCCGAAGCCAGAGACUAGGUGUGGCUGUGAGGCAGAAAUGCGUGUCCAUAUCGACAAGGAUAGUGGCAGAUGGAUUGUAACAUACUUCCAGGAAGUUCAUAAUCACAAGAUGCUUGAGGACACACUUACUUUCAUGCUUUCAGGACAUAGAAGGAUGAACUCGGCGACAAUUGAUCAAAUGAAUAUGAUGUUAAAAGUCGGCAUCAAGACCCCACAGAUUUAUGCAUCGUUUGUGCAGACAGCAGGCGGGUGUGAAAAUGUUCCGUUUUUUAAGAGAGACAUGUACAACAGAAUUCACAACCAACGGAGGAUUAUUGGUGGGGAUGCAAGUGCGUGCCUUAUGUUGUUGCAACGUAUGAAAGUAGAAAAUCCGGGAAUGUUUGUUAGACACCUAGCGGACAAAGAAGGUCGUUUGGUGCAUUUAUUUUGGUGUGAUAACUGUAGUCAACUGGAUUAUGAAAUAUUUGGGGAUGUAUUAGUAUUUAAUGCGACAUAUUGCAAGAAUAAGUACAUGUGUCCGCUGGUGGUUUUCUCGGGGGUUAAUCAUCACAAUCAAACAAUCGUGUUUGCUGCUGCCCUUGUUGCGAAUGAGACAGAGGAAACAUAUAAGUGGCUACUGCAGCAAUUUUUAGAAGGCAUGAAGGGCAAGGCACCCAAAUGUGUCAUCACUGAUGGUCAUAGAGCCAUGAAGAAAGCAAUUGAAUCAAUUUUUCCAAAUUUGUAUCAUCGUCUAUGUGCAUGGCACUUACUCCGAAAUGCGACCUCAAACAAAAGCAAUCCUGUGUUCUCAUCUGAAUUCAAGAAAUGUAUGUUAUUUGACUAUGAAGUGGCAGAGUUCGAAGAGCACUGGAAUAAUGUGGUUUCUGAGCUAGGCCUACAAGAUAAUCCCUGGGUGUGUGAUCUAUAUGCUAGAAGACAUAUGUGGGCAACUGCACACAUCCGUGGUAAUUUCUUUGGGGGCUUCCAAACCACGUCAAGAUGUGAGGGGAUUCACUCUAUGCUCGGCAAGUUUGUGCAUUCCCGGCACAACUUAAAAGACUUUGUUGAGCAAUUCUUUUGAUGUAUCAGUCAAAUGAGGUCCCGGGAAGCAUUCUCUGACUUACAAUCCACUGUUGGGGAGAUGGUACUACAAAGCCCUCUACGAUCGCUUGAAAGGUCUAUGGUAAGUGUACUGACAAGAGAGAUAUUUCUUAUUUUCCGACCAAUGCUUUCACAGGCUUGCAUGUUAAAGAUAAGCUCUUGUACAUUCACAGCAUGUUCAGAUAUCUAUUCCCUAUUCCGGUCUGGAGAUUCUGCCCGAGAGUGGCGCGUUUCACAUUAUCGAAAUGGGUCAUUCUUCAAGUGUUCGUGCAUGAGGAUGGAGACCUUUGGGAUUCCUUGUGACCACAUUAUUGCAGUAUUUUAUCACCUUGAUAUCACUGAAAUGCCUGCGAGUGUAGUAUUGGAAAGGUGGUCAAAAGAUACCCGUUCGAGGGUGAGGGCUUUCAUGGAAAAGGGACCGUUUUGCUGGGAUUCGAUGGUUACCUGCCGCAAUUGGAUGUUGAAUGACCUAUGCAGGGAGUUGUGUGUCCUUGCUUCUGUACGAGUGGAUGAUUUUGUGGACGUCACUGGUAAAUUGAGAAAUGAAAUUUUGCACUUGAAAAGCAAGAGACUUUCUCCAAGUGGGGGGGAGGGGGGAAGGAGCUGAUCCUCUGGUGUCAUCUACUCUUGAGGAUUGCGUAAGAGAUCCACAUGUUUUAUGUCACCACAAGCGCCGUAAAUUUGGUGUGGGUAGGCAGCCAUCUACCAAGGGUGUAAAGAGAUGUGGAAUUUGCCGCGCGGUUGGCCAUAACCGAUUAUCUUGUUCACAAAGGCAUACACACAGGCAAGGACACGCUGCUGUUGGUAGUGGUACCCAACGGAGGGCUGUUUACGAAGAGGCUGAUUAUAGUGAGUAUUAAAAUUCAUGGGAAGAGGUUAGUGGAGUAGUAUGCGUUACGUUUUUCUUUUAAGUAGUUAAUUUUUCUAUAAGAUAAUUAAUAAUUAUAACUAAGUUUUCGGAUAAAUUUAAUAACCAAUAUAGUCCCGUCAUUGCAUAAAAUAUUACAGUUACAAACCACACAAAAUAAUACGAAGUAGUUAAUAAAUUCUAAACACUGCUGCUAACUUUGGGUCAUUUUUCAUACCCAAAGGAGCUUAUUUAGGCCAUGGACUUAUCACAUCCCAUGGAGCGAACUAUAAAUCUAGCCCAUCUGAAAUCACGACUGUCAAUGACUUGGUAACGGUACCCAUGUAUGCUCAUGCCUAUACACCUCCGUGCCAAUCUGCAACCCAAAUCCUCACCAAAUUUCCAAUUGCAUUGAAUGUUCUUCCCGCAAGCAAAACAGCAGUAUUCCCACGCAGAAUAUAAUCAUCAAGCUGGAGACGUUAUCAAAACAAGCACAACUUAGGCAAAUUUCUUGCUACNNNNNNNNNNNNNNNNNNNNNNNNNNNNNNNNNNNNNNNNNNNNNNNNNNNNNNNNNNNNNNNNNNNNNNNNNNNNNNNNNNNNNNNNNNNNNNNNNNNNNNNNNNNNNNNNNNNNNNNNNNNNNNNNNNNNNNNNNNNNNNNNNNNNNNNNNNNNNNNNNNNNNNNNNNNNNNNNNNNNNNNNNUAAGACACGUAUGUCUUGAUGGUCGGGCCGAGUGAUGUUACCACUCCACUUAUUUGCAAUGGGUUGAAAUUUUCCUCAGGGUGUAGCCAUGAUAUCACUCAAGAAGCAGAGUUGUAACUGUAAUGGACAAUAAACCUAUCAUCAUAUGAAAAGAUAUUCCGUUAAUGCUAAUGAAAUUCUAAUGAUCAUGAAGAAUGACCUUGUAUUGCAGUUGGGGAUUCCUUGGCCUCUACGAAUUGGCCAUUUAGGAAGCUUGCUAGGAGUGUAAACUGUAGCAGGUCCAUAAGCUGGAGAAGUCAUCAACUCAUGAAGCCUCCCUAGCUGGAAAUUAAAAACCAAUGACUACUCUUAACCAGAAACUCUUUGUUCUAUGUAGAAGACACACAAACAAACUAUUCAUCCCUUAUCAUUGUCCGCAUAAGUUUCUCCCUAUCAGUGACCAUGUUUGGCUCUGGCCAUGAGUCCAAUAAAUAAGCACAUUGGUUAGGAAAGUCAACGACCAUACACCACCAGUGCAUGAAGAUGUCUUCUACGGGAACCAAUAUCUAACACAAUGACACGUUAAAAUUAUUAUCCGUAGUGUUCAACUGCAAAUUUUAAGAUACUGCUUAUUUGUUCAAAAGACUCGAGAGUGAUAGAAGUUUAAAAAAUAUUUUUUGGGUCAUUCAUAAUAUUCAUACAAAAGUCGUAUGACAAUAUUUUUAUUAAAUUACAAUUAAUAAAUAAAAAUAUUUCUAAUUAUAUAAUCAAAUAAAAGAACGAAUAAAAAUAUUACUCACAUGAUCAAGAUAUCUGCUUGGUUUGACCCAGAAUGAGACAUAUGUUUCAACGAGCUCCUCUAUUGAUACACCACGGAUCACGUCAUCCUUAUUAAAAACAUAACACAUUAUCAGAACUCCACGGAUAAUAGUCCAAUUAGUGUUGUGUUUCAACACAUAUCUCUAACAUCACUCACAGCAAAUUUGGGAGGAAGAGUCUAGUAGUGUGCAUGUCUUAGGUGUUGUAUCAAACAUGCAUUCCGUAUCGCAACCAUUUCAACAGCCCUGCCAUCAAUCUCACGGCUGGACACGAAAGAUUGAAUCUGACGCCUGGUCAGGCGAUAUUUGCGCAUCCUAACUAGGGUCUCUCUGCAUGAAAUGAUACUCCGAUUAGUGGCUUCUUUUAAUGAAAUGAAGGUGUUAACAGAUCAUAUAAUAAAAUUCAACUUGGUAAGCUACACAUAACUUGCUCUAAAGGGUGCCCAUUGGAAAACAAAAACUUGAAUAGCACAAUAUCAGCCCGAUUAAGGUCCAUAUCAUGAUGGGGCUUGAAAUUCAUCUUCGUACUCUUCUGCCACAAGGUUCCAAAAUCAACAACUGGGAAACUUCAACUUAAAUGCAGCAACAACGACGACAUGAACAAAACUUACUCGAGUCACUUUAGAACAAGAAGCUCCUCUGGAACGCUUGGUAGGGGCUGAUGCAAUUCCCCUUGGUGUAUCAAAUAGCCUCCUAUUCUUCCUCAUGGGAGCUGUUAAUUGACCGCCUCGUUCAUCCUCGUCGGAGUCGGGAGCAGUCAAGUUAGCGAUGUCGAUAGCAUUAACACCCCACUGUGUUGGAUUCUUUGGAACAUUCGGGAGAGGACUGUCAAGAAUGUAUUCGGACAUGUCUUCAUGUAGCUGUGACGACAACAGAAUGCCACUGCCAUCUCUGUCACUCUUGGAAGAUACCUUUCCAUGAAGUGAAUACUCAGGAGACCUACAAAAGAGACAACUAGAACAUCAUAUAAGGACAGUGUCACCCUAGUUUACCUACAUGUAGCAACACUAUUCAAUUUAUUAUACAUGAAAAAAAUGACACCUAUUAGCAGCGGCCAUGCACCUCUUCAACGUUUGCAUGUGCAACUAUCACAAAAUUAUGAAUUAAUGAAGGUUGCAAUACCAGAGGUUUAUGUUAUAGUAUAUAUAACAUUAUUUUCCCUCCAUAUAUUUUUCUGCCAAAUUAUUCUUUGUUGCUAACAUCUUUUGUCUCCAUAUGCAGACAAAAAAAACCAGAGCAGACCUUCCUGGGUAACCACUGUCCAUGGACUGUAUCAGACAGACAAACUUUUUCUUAGUUCGUAGCAGCUUUAUGAGGUGGCUUAUUUAAGAUAUUUAUUUAAAUAUUUUUGAGGCCAUGAAAGAAUUAAAUGGUCUCAUUAAAUAUUCCACCUAACUACACCCUUCAUUAUCCUUUAUAAGAACGGAAAGUCCACUAAGGGAGACAAUUCCACAAACAAUUUGCAUCAAAUCUUCACCCAUCAUGGUGAGACAAAACAAGAAAGUCUAUGUGAUUUUUCGUGGGAAAAACCCAGGAAUUUAUACAACUUGGCCGGCAUGCCAUGCACAAGUUGAUGGGUUUAGUGGUAACUCAUACCAAUCCUUCAGAAACAUUGAUGAUGCAAGAAUAGCAUGGGUUGAGUACAUCAGUCAAACCAUGGGAGCUCAAACUGAAUGCUAUGCUGAAGACCCCCUCCAAGGCAGUCUAAUAAAAGGUGCUGCUAAAGACCACACUCAGCUCAAGGUUCCUCAUGCACCAAUUGUUGAUGGCUACGACCCUGGCUCCGAUCCACCACUACCAACACAACAGGAUUUGCUGCCUAAAGGUCAUUUACUAUUAUGGGGAACUAAGCCUCCACGUAUAUCUGUUAAUGCAGCUACCAUUCUCACCCUAACCAUUACUUUAUUGGUGCUUUACCUAGCCAUCCUUAAUAGGUAAAUUUACAACUUGAAAAUUCAUUCAGAAUUUUAUUAUUUCAACUUGUUACAGUUAACAGUUAAUUGUGAGAUUUAAGUCUAUAUCCUAAAAACUACUGUGCAUUAGCCUUUAUUAGGAUUUAAGCCUGUGUAAAUAUUAUUGAAAUCAUUGUUAGUUGAAUCUUAAUUCAAGUACCACAUAAAGCUAUCGACCUGAAAACAUCAUAUGUUAUGCCAAAAUUUCUUGUGUCACCGCAAUCACAAAAGCACCGUAACAUAAUUCAAGUUAUAAUAAAAUCCCUGAGACAAUGACACAAAAUAGGGUCCCUUUAUAUUUCACAGAAAAUGCUAAAUGCAUUUAAUGAGGUUGCCUCCCACUGCAAAUACAAACACGCUUCCGAAGUCUGAUUCACUCAUAUCCUCAAAACAGCCUUUUCAAUGAAGCAUACUUUAACCCUUUGUCAAGAGCAUAAGACAAAUUUUAAAGUACUCAAUACUACACAAAAAAUGUACUCGCUAUCACCAAUUUCAUAGUAGAAUAUUAGCACAAAUACUACUACAACAUAACUCUAAUUUCAUUAAUUAAUUCAACACCAACACAAACUUACAACAGAAUUAACUAGUCUACAAUCCCAUACAUAACACAACUAAAUUUACUAAGCCACCACCCUCGUCCUACGUACUACACCAAAAUGUAUUCAACCAAACAUAAGUUACAGAGAUUGACCUUCAAUGCGAGCGUUCACUGCAGCUUCAUAACUAGCCUUAAGCUUCUCGUAAACAUCCUCCAAUUGACCGACCUUAGCCCGAAGUGCAUUGUUACUAUCACGAAGAAGCUUAACUUUUAAGUAACUGUAGUCUUUAAUCUCCUUACCGGUGAUAUCAAGCACUUGACCAAGCAUCUCCAUUGCUGCAUCUUCGCGAACAGCCUUUUCCACCAUAGAAAAUCGUCCCUUGGCAUUUAAUUCAACCUCAUAUGGUUCACCAGGAACCACCACGGUAAAGCCAUAGAAUGGGCCUUGGUCUCUCAGAUAUCUCUCUUGCUUGAAGAAACAAGGAGCAGAAAUUUCAGAAUCAUAGCAAAGCUUCACCAACCAAUCCUCUAUGCUAUUCACUAUAGCAAAUUCAGCAUUCAGCUCCUCUUGCGGAAUGACUGGCAGCCCUGUUUGAACAACAGCAACAUCUUCACACUAAAAUUCCAAUAAAUUCAAAAAAUGUAACACCAAAAAGUAACACACUUACAAGAAACACUUGGACGGCCACAGAAACUUCCACACUUUGAGCCUCCUUUUUUACCACACACAGCAUCGACGGCACCACCCAUCAUUUCCAGAGUUGCACAUUUCUCAGCCAUAAUGCACCGCAAUCUUGCAUUGAAGACCAACACCAGCUUGUUGGUGACUGUGAAAUCACGAAGUUGCUCCCUAUCAUCUUCCCAGCUCGUGAAAACACCGGUGCGAGUGCCCUUCGUCACGGCAAAAAAAAGAUAUCGCUGCAUUGAAUCUUCCAUGCUUGACCUACUAUAGUGUUUCUUUUCUACUACAAUGUAUGUAUUGGUUAGAGGCCACCUAUUUUAUAAUAACAUUUCUUUGAAUUGAGUUCCACGGCCCAGCCCAACAACUCACUUAUUAUUUAAAAUAACAACAUUCAAGAUUUUGAACCAAACAAAACCAUUUUAUAAUAAUUAAUAGAUAAAGUAUAAAUAAAUGUAAUAAAACAUAUUUAUAAUUUAUCGUGAACCUUGAAAUUAAAUAGAACUAUAUCAACUAAAAUAUUAUGAAUCCAUCAAACAGCAACUUCAAUAAUGAGAUAACAAAGUUACAAUAAGUACUUUUUGAUUAUAAAUUAUCAAUCAGACAGAUUAUACAUGAGAGUCACAAACUGAACAAAGACAAAAACAAUUAUAUAUUAAUAACACAACAACUUAACAAAUUAACAAAUGAUAUCAAAUUAUAAGACAGAAAUAAUUAACAAGUUAUAACAAUUACAAUAAAAACAACCUCAACAUGAACUCAAAAUCACAACAACAAUAACAAUUAACACAGAAAAACAACACCACAACACUAUUAGGAAUAAUUAAAACACUGUAACAAAGUGACAAAUACCUCAAAAUCACCAUUGCUGACAAUAAUAAUUUGAUAUUUGUUUGCUCCAACAAUCAAAGGCUAAGUUUCUAUACACAUAGUGGUAAGUACCAUCAACGGAAAAGUGAAAAUUCCCAAACAAAUGGUUAAUCACAGCUUAAAAAAUUUUCACAAUCCCCUAUGGUUGAAGCAGCAAUCAACUUGACAAGGAAAGCAACACAAACCAACUUCUAAAGAGGAAGUGAACGUCGACGGCGAUGCUGAUAAGGUGCGUUUGUCGACCGACGAAGAAGAACCGACGACAGACUGAUGACGGUGAUUCCGGAGCACAAAAGACGCCGGCCAUCCUUGCAGCGGUGGUGUGGAAGCCUGGGUUUCGUUUAGUGCUUAAUGAACCACAUACAAUUCUUUUUUUGGUUAGAAGCAUAUACAAUUAUUUAAAAUCUACAAUUAAUUCUUUUUUUUGUGGUCUUCAAUCUACCAUCAAAUAAAAUCUGUAUUAUAGGAAGAAACUGAACGCUUUCAAAGAUUUAUUUUUUGAUAAUGUACUUUCAAACAUUUUAUUAUGCAUCACAAUCAAAAUAUGUUUUUGCAGACACCUACUAGAAAGCCUAAUUCUUUUUUUUUCACAAUUAACAAUUAGUGCUUUUUGAUUGAUAUUAUUUAUAACAAAAAAUAUAUAUAUAAAUUAUCAAUCAAACAGAUUAUACAAGGAAGUCACAAACUGAAUAAAGACAAAAACAAUUAUAUAUUAAUAAGACAACAAUCAUUUAAAAUCUAACAAUUAAUUCUUUUUUUUUUUUUUGCGGUCUUCAAUCUACCAUCAAAUAAAAUCUAUAUUACAGGAAGAAACUUAACGCUUUCAAAAAUUUAUUUUUGGAUAAUGAACUUUUAAACAUUUUAUUCUACAUCACAGUCAAAAUUUGUUUUGGCAGCCACCUACUAAGCCUAAUUCUUUUUUUUUUCGGUAAUUAAAUGCCCAAUUCUUAAAUCUCUCAACCAUUCAGUUUACUCCAAAAACCAUAAAUUACAAAGCCCAGUUAAAAUAGGCCAGCUUUUCAGACAAAAAAAAACUUUAUGUUACACACAAAAAAUAUUUACAAGCUGCUCAUAUAAUAACCCUAUAUCAUAUUUCUACCACAAACACUCCAACCACAAAUGUUUUACAAGAAGACGGGAUGUUCACAAUUCUCCUUUUAUCCUCUUUCUGCCAGUCUGUCACAUACACCACCACGUGUUAAUUUGCAACAAUGCCACGACAUCAAAAAGCAAACGGCGUGUGGAAUGCCCCUUUAGAAGGGGCGCUUCCUAAAACUUGCCGUUCACAUACACCGAUUACAUUUAAUGGCAUUAUUGCAUUAUCGAAAGAUAAGAAAAAUCAAUCAGUAAUGACAUUGACAUAUGGGUGCCCACAAAUUUCAAAAAACCUUUAUUGACACGAAAUUAAUUUUUAGAAGUUGCUUUGGCUCAUAGUGGCGGUUAGCGAGAAUCUAUAUAAGGCGCAGACAACAAUUGUGUUCAUCAUAGUCAUAAUAACAACAUACAUAGUUCUAACUUAGAGAGCUACUUGUUCAUAUGUCUACAGAUCAAUGGCUCUUGUUAUACAAGUAAGAGCUUCUUCGCUUUCAAGUUCAAUUCAUCAUCCUCGUCACAAUUCCAUGCAUCCACCAUGGAACUUGUCGCUACAAACAUCUAAAGGCCAAGGGACCAUUAUGCAUAGUAAAAAAUUAUCUAUCAAUUCCGUUCUUCUUCGUGAGAAGGUGCCCUUUGAUUAAUCUCUCUCUUAAGAUUUUUAUUUUACUUUCUUUGGGUAAAUUAAAGUCCCUCCAAGUACUUGAUUUAUGGAAGAAGCAAUCUUUUAAUAACUAUUUUUUUUUAUCAUGGUUUUAUAUACAUCAUAGAUACGCUUAAAAAAAAUAAUAUAUCUAUCGAUAAAUAAUGAGAUAAGUUUUAAAGUGGUCACUGAAAUUGCACUCGAGUUUUAUAGUAGUCCCUGAACUUAAAAGUUACCCAUAUUCGUCCCUGAAGUUGCAUUCCAGGACUCAAAUUCGUCCUUCCGGCACAUUCCGUCCCUGACACCACCGGAAAGCUGAUCUGGACUCUCCGUGACACGCUGGACAGGUAACGGCUAGCUGACGUGGAUUAGUAAACUUUUAUGGUGCAAUUUGGUCCCUAAAUCAAAAUUAAAAAUUUUAAUCCCCAAAUUUAAUCAUCAUUAUCUUUUAUACAGUAAUCCCUCUUUUCUCUACAGGCAUAGAUCUUCAUAUCCCAAAUUCACAAGAUUUUUCUUUUUGUUUAUUUUUAGUUGAAGUAUCUUAUAACAAUAACAACUAGAGUUUUCUUAACAACCAUUAUUUGAAUAAAUUUAACUGCUUUUAUCCCUUUUUUUUUUUGUAAGAUAGAUGGUGAGAUUAUAACAUAAAAAAAGUUAUGUGAUAUAUAUAAUUAAAGAAAUAAUGUAAAGUUUAGUUUCUAAAAUUGUGAACGUUCAUAAAAAUUUGUUGACUUUUAAAAAUGAUUAAAUUGAUCCAUAAAUUUAUAAAUUGUGAAUCUCAACUCAUCUCUAAUGCUAAUAUAAAAUGUUAAAAUGUCAGCAUGAUAUUUGCAAACAAAAAGAUGAUAUGAUUAAUAUUUUAAUAUGAUCAAAUUAGUGUCUUAAAUUAGUUAAUUAGAUUUAUUUUUCUUAAUUGGUUUUUUAUUAAUUAGAGACUAAAAUAAUAAAUAUUAAAUUAGGAAAAAUUUUGCUAUUUUUUGUUUCUUUAAUAUUACCCUUAAUUAAUUUGAAAUACCUAUUUAAUUAUAAUAAAAUCUUAGACAUGUCAUUUUAAUAGAGAUGUCAUACGAUUUGAAAUGUCAUAAUAUAACACUUUAUAUUAAUACUAUGUGAAUGACAGUUAAAUUAGGAUGAUGCAUGAUUAUUUUGAAACAGGAUUCGAAAGAAAAUGUAAUAUAGUAUAUAAUAAUAACGAUGUAACUUUUUAAUUCCGUAAAUACAAGAGAUAGAUUUUUGUAAAAUCAUAUAAAAAUAUAAAAUUUAAUUUUGUAAAACAUUUUAAUUAAACUAGAGUUAAAUGAGUGCAUAAAAUGUUAAAUACAAAGACAUAGUAUGUGACUUUUAAUUAACAAAACAUAUGCCUACUUUCAAUGAAGUUGUAAUUUGUAGUCUCUUUCACAUCCAUAUGGAGAAGAGAAGAGAAGAAAAGAAAAGAGAGGAAUUACUACUAUAGAGAAGAGAAUAAUAAUUAAAUUUAGAGAUUAAAAUUUUUAAUUUUAACUUAGGGACCAAAUUGCACCAUAAAAGUUUACUAAUCCACGUCAGCUAGCCGUUACCUGGCCAGCGUGUCACAGAGGAGUCCAGAACAGCUUUUCGGUGGUGCCAGGUGGACGGAAUAUGCCGGAAGGAUGAAUCUGAGUCCUGGAGUGCAACUUCAGGAACGAAUAUGAGUAACUAUUAAGUUCAGGGACUACUAUGAGACUCGAGUGCAACUUCAGGGACUACUUUAAAUCUUAUCUCAUAAAUAAUUGAUUAGCGUGAUAGAUAUUGUAAUAAUCUCCAAUUCGAGUCUCAAGUUAAAAAAAAAAAUCAAAUUGCCUCUCAGUGAAAUCUCAAAUGCUCAAAUAAAAUUAAUUAUCUUCGACAAAUAACAAAAAAAUGUAACUGUGUAUCCUAUUAAAGUAAUAAAUCUCAUCAGUUUGGCAUAUAUAUAUCAAAAAUGUUAUUUGUACACUAAAAUUAGCUACUAAAAUCAGUCAUCAAUGUAUUUAUAUACAAAUAUACUUGUAAUUUAAUUUAUUUUUAAUAUAUAUUUUAUACUAAUAGCUAAUUUUUGUAAUUAAUUUUAAUAUAUACCUAACAUAGUUCUUUAUAUACUACUUUUUAAAUGCAUCCAAAUUGGUAAUAAAAAGGCACUGGUUAUAUAGAAGAAGAGACCUGUUACACAUACAAGUCUUUUUGGCUUACAAGUCUUACAAGUUGGCACAAGCCCAACAAAAAACACGCAUUACACUCUCACAUUCAAGAGUAAAUAAACGCAUGUUAUCCAACCACUUCACUCACCAUGCAUUAUAAACGACUCUUCUUCUUCUUCCUCCAUGAAAACGAGUUUCUUACCAAAUUUGAAGAUAAUGGAAAUUCAGAAAUACACCCAAACGAUUAUAGAAAUACACUCAAACGAUUACAGAAAUACACCCAAAUAAUUACAGAAAUACACCCAAACAGUUAAAGGAAUUCACCCAAACGAUUAUAGAAAUACACCCAAAGGAUUACAAAAACUACACCCAAAGGAUUUAAGAAAUAUACUCAAAAUUCGUUGAAGUACACCUUAUGCAUAAUUCAGAACUCUUUCUCUUUCUUCUCCUCAUCUUCUGUUGCUUCUCUUCUUCUUCAAAAAUAAUUUUAGAGCUUGAUGUCAAAAAACAAUGAAAAUCGAGAAUAACGAAGAAAAAAAACAAAGAAAAAAGUACGUAAAUAAAGAAGGAGAAAGAGAAUGCAAGAAACGAAAAAAAAGAAGAAGAAGAAGAGAAAGAGGAAGAGGAAGAAAGACGUGCAGUAAGAAGAAGAAGAAGAAGGUGCAGUGAAAACGUGCAGUAACGGUUGAAGAAGGAAAAAGAAAAGGCAAGAAACGAAAGAAAAGAAGAAGAAGAAGAGGGAGAGGAAGAAGAACGUACGCAAGAAGAAGAAGAAGAGCGUGCACUUGUAAAGACUUGUAUAAAAAAACGCUUGUAUGUGAAGAAUUUCUCAUAGAAGAAAAAGAGGAGCUAGUAGAUAUUAAAGAUCUUACAGUUUGUAUAUUCAUGGUUAAUAAAUUAACUAUAUUAAUUUUUGGUUUCAAAGGUGACAAGGCCUUAAAUUCCUUUUCUGCAGUUAAUUAUUUUCCUAUUUUGGUUUGGUUUUGAUGUUGGGGUGAUAGGCGGAGUGUCUUGAAAGUAAUGAUAGGAAGAAAAGCUUGGAGCAGGUGAAGAAAGAAGGGCAAGAAGCAUUGCUAAAAAAGUCAAGCGAUCCAGUGGGAACAAUGAAAAUAAUUGAUAGCAUUCAAGAGCUGGGAAUUGGGCACCAUUUUGAAGAAGAGAUCAAUGCACUUCUUGGAAAGAUAUGCCACUGGGAUGCCUCACAAGACCUAUUUGCCACAUCCCUUCAAUUUCGCCUCCUGAGGCACAAUGGCUGGACCACUUUUCCUGGUAUGUAUUACCUUUAUUCAACUAAUUAAUAAAACUUAAGUGAAGUUGACUUCACAUGAAGUUGACUUCACAUGAAGUUGAUACCUGAGAGCCGUUAGAUGAAAAUUUAGUCAAAUCAGUUAAAUCAUUUAACGGCUUUUAGGUAUCAACUUCACGUGAAAUCGACUACACUUGAGUUUCCACUUUAAUUAAUCCAUUUGCAUUUGGCAAGUUGAUAAAUAAUAAUUGAUACACCCUCUGCUAUCUAGCUAUGUAGUGCAUGAAUCAAGUGAUGAUUGUUCACCACUAAUUAACUAGUAUGUUACUUUUAGGAUUCUAAAUUUUUUUUAUAUAUUUCUUUACUCUAUUUUGAAAUGCGU
RNAcentral lists this long non-coding RNA (15730 nucleotides) under Arachis ipaensis. Its description in RNAcentral is "long non-coding RNA (AIPA_LNC001883)". Lineage: Eukaryota; Viridiplantae; Streptophyta; Magnoliopsida; Fabales; Fabaceae. The record is from RNAcentral.